UUGGAAUUGAAGUGUGAAUGCAGUUCCAUCAGUGCGGUUGAAAUUCUUCGAAAUGCGUUAAGCUUUACUAUAUUUUCAACUUGAAACAAGCUCCAAACUACAGGUAAGUAAUUUUUUUACUUGCCAUUAUUGAAACAAAUGUCGAACACAAACUAUGAAUACUUCCCAUGUCAUAUGCGAAGAACCCAGAUGACCAAAAGAAGCAAAUGGAUUCCUCUACAUUCAAUUUGGAAAAGAAACCGCAAUUUUCAGUAGUAUCUCGUCAACAAUUUGAAGAUAAUCAAGAAAUUAAAAAAAAAAAUUGCAAAACACAAACAACAAAACAUGUAAUUGCCUCUUCCUCAUAGUAUAGAAUUUUGCAGAUGGAACUAAGCCUAACACUGUAUACAUAACAGAUAAUGAUACGCCUACGUGUAUUCAUAAAGAAGCAAGAAAACAACGGAAAGAAUAUUAACAUCUAACAGCGGCAGCAUCAAGAAGGAAGUAGGAAACAGCAGCAGCCACUUAAAACAAUAAAGAACAGACUAAAAUUAAAAUCGUAAAACGAACUUACGAGUUUUACAAAGAAACGCAUCGAAGGGACGACGAAACAGGCUCAGAAGUGGCAGAUCCAGACAGAGAGUAAAAGGAGGAUAAGGAAAGAAAGAGGAGGCGUGUCGGCUUCUUGGUUUCUUUUUUAAGUUGGGAAUUCUGAAAUUUGUGGGAAUUUGUGGAAACGACAAGGAGGUGUGAAGAAAGCAGAGAGACAGGUUGUGAAGAAGAAGAAGAAGAAGAA
RNAcentral lists this unclassified non-coding RNA (775 nucleotides) under Hevea brasiliensis (rubber tree). Lineage: Eukaryota; Viridiplantae; Streptophyta; Magnoliopsida; Malpighiales; Euphorbiaceae. The record is from RNAcentral.